RNAcentral lists this ribosomal RNA (620 nucleotides) under uncultured bacterium. RNAcentral describes it as "bacterial SSU rRNA". It matches the Rfam family "Bacterial small subunit ribosomal RNA", at positions 429 to 1053 of the family's 1533-position model. The record is from RNAcentral.
ACUUCUUUUAUGGGGGACGAAAUCACUUAUUCUUAAGUGUCUGACGGUACCCCAGGAAUAAGCACCGGCUAACUCCGUGCCAGCAGCCGCGGUAAUACGGAGGAUCCAAGCGUUAUCCGGAUUUAUUGGGUUUAAAGGGUGCGUAGGCGGCUUAUUAAGUCAGGGGUGAAAGACGGUGGCUCAACCAUCGCAGUGCCUUUGAUACUGAUGAGCUUGAAUACACUUGAGGUAGGCGGAAUGUGACAAGUAGCGGUGAAAUGCAUAGAUAUGUCACAGAACCCCGAUUGCGAAGGCAGCUUACUAAAGUGUAAAUGACGCUGAGGCACGAAAGCGUGGGGAUCAAACAGGAUUAGAUACCCUGGUAGUCCACGCCCUAAACAAUGAAUACUCGAUGUUGGCGAUAUACAGUCAGCGUCCAAGCGAAAGCGUUAAGUAUUCCACCUGGGGAGUACGUCCGCAAGGAUGAAACUCAAAGGAAUUGACGGGGGCCCGCACAAGCGGAGGAGCAUGUGGUUUAAUUCGAUGAUACGCGAGGAACCUUACCCGGGCUUGAAAGUUAGUGAAUAAUCCAGAGAUGGAUUAGCCCUUCGGGGCACGAAACUAGGUGCUGCAUGGCUGUC